CACGGAGGAUGCGAGCCGUUAUCCGGAUUUAUUGGGUUUAAAGGGUGCGUAGGCGGCUUUUUAAGUCAGCGGUGAAAUUUUGCAGCUUAACUGUAACAGUGCCGUUGAUACUGGGGAGCUAGGAUUUGGUUGCUGUGGGUGGAAUGUGUGGUGUAGCGGUGAAAUGCUUAGAGAUCACACAGAAUAUCAAUUGCGAAGGCAGCUCACAAAGCCAAGAUUGACGCUGAGGCACGAAAGUGUGGGGAUCAAACAGGAUUA
Molecule: ribosomal RNA, 258 nt
Filed under: uncultured prokaryote
Description: partial 16S ribosomal RNA
Rfam family: Bacterial small subunit ribosomal RNA
Source: RNAcentral